CUCAGAGUAGUGCUUCUCAAAUGUUAAUGUGCAUAUGCCAAAUCACGUGGGCAUCUUGUUAAAAUGCAGAGUUUUGAGUUGAGGGUCUGGGGAGGGCUGAGAUUGUGCAGUUCUAAGGGGAUGCCAGGUGGUGCCAAUUCUGCUGCAUUGGACACCACACAGAGUGGCGAGGUCACUAAAUAAUAGGAGCGAAAGGAUUGUGAGAACACCGACAUCAGUGAGAAGGAGGCUGGCUGCAGAGACCAUGAAAAUGAAAUCUAUGCAUGGAGUGCAACCUUGCUGAGAAUAUUUGUUUCCUUUCUAUAUUGUCUCUCCAUGGCCUGCUCGUUCCCUUCAGAAUGGGGCUACCACAUGGUCAGGAGGAAGAGACUCACAGAGAAAGAUGAAGGUUGCAGAGAGUUGCUGUGGAAAUAGCACAUGCUGAAGGAGUCUUCUAAGCAGCCCAGAGGCGAUGACAUACCAGUGCCAGCAGAGGAGGAGAACCACGCUUCAGUAUAACAAAAACUUCAGUGAAUCAUGCUCGAUGUGGAAAAGUUGAAUAGACAUGGCUAAGGAUAAAAGAAAAAAAAUACACAUAAUCUCACUACCCAG
This 591-nucleotide long non-coding RNA is filed under the name Theropithecus gelada (gelada). Its description in RNAcentral is "lncRNA (ENSTGEG00000009914.1)". Lineage: Eukaryota; Metazoa; Chordata; Mammalia; Primates; Cercopithecidae. The record is from RNAcentral.